RNAcentral lists this ribosomal RNA (374 nucleotides) under uncultured organism. Its description in RNAcentral is "partial 16S ribosomal RNA". It matches the Rfam family "Bacterial small subunit ribosomal RNA", at positions 527 to 896 of the family's 1533-position model. The record is from RNAcentral.
GUAGGUGGCAAGCGUUGUCCGGAAUUAUUGGGCGUAAGGCGCGCGCAGGCGGUCCUUUAAGUCUGGUGUGAAAGCCCACGGCUCAACCGUGGAGGGUCAUUGGAAACUGGGGGACUUGAGUACAGAAGAGGAAAGCGGAAUUCCAAGUGUAGCGGUGAAAUGCGUAGAGAUUUGGAGGAACACCAGUGGCGAAGGCGGCUUUCUGGUCUGUAACUGACGCUGAGGCGCGAAAGCGUGGGGAGCAAACAGGAUUAGAUACCCUGGUGGUCCACGCCGUAAACGAUGAGUGCUAAGUGUUAGGGGGUUUCCCGCCCCCCUUAGUGCUGCAGCUAACGCAUUAAGCACUCCGCCUGGGGAGUACGGCCGCAAGGCUG